This 1346-nucleotide ribosomal RNA is filed under the name uncultured bacterium. RNAcentral's name for it is "partial 16S ribosomal RNA". It matches the Rfam family "Bacterial small subunit ribosomal RNA", at positions 28 to 1381 of the family's 1533-position model. The record is from RNAcentral.
GACGAACGCUGGCGGCGUGCUUAACACAUGCAAGUCGAACGGAAAGGCCCUGCUUUUGUGGGGUGCUCGAGUGGCGAACGGGUGAGUAACACGUGAGUAACCUGCCCUUGACUUUGGGAUAACUUCAGGAAACUGGGGCUAAUAUCGGAUAGGAGCUCCUGCUGCAUGGUGGGGGUUGGAAAGUUUCGGCGGUUGGGGAUGGACUCGCGGCUUAUCAGCUUGUUGGUGGGGUAGUGGCUUACCCAGGCUUUGACGGGUAGCCGGCCUGAGAGGGUGACCGGCCACAUUGGGACUGAGAUACGGCCCAGACUCCUACGGGAGGCAGCAGUGGGGAAUAUUGCACAAUGGGCGGAAGCCUGAUGCAGCAACGCCGCGUGCGGGAUGACGGCCUUCGGGUUGUAAACCGCUUUCGCCUGUGACGAAGCGUGAGUGACGGUAAUGGGUAAAGAAGCACCGGCUAACUACGUGCCAGCAGCCGCGGUGAUACGUAGGGUGCGAGCGUUGUCCGGAUUUAUUGGGCGUAAAGGGCUCGUAGGUGGUUGAUCGCGUCGGAAGUGUAAUCUUGGGGCUUAACCCUGAGCGUGCUUUCGAUACGGGUUGACUUGAGGAAGGUAGGGGAGAAUGGAAUUCCUGGUGGAGCGGUGGAAUGCGCAGAUAUCAGGAGGAACACCAGUGGCGAAGGCGGUUCUCUGGGCCUUUCCUGACGCUGAGGAGCGAAAGCGUGGGGAGCGAACAGGCUUAGAUACCCUGGUAGUCCACGCUGUAAACGGUGGGUACUAGGUGUGGGGUCCAUUCCACGGGUUCCGUGCCGUAGCUAACGCUUUAAGUACCCCGCCUGGGGAGUACGGCCGCAAGGCUAAAACUCAAAGGAAUUGACGGGGCCCCGCACAAGCGGCGGAGCAUGCGGAUUAAUUCGAUGCAACGCGUAGAACCUUACCUGGGUUUGACAUGGAUCGGGAGUGCUCAGAGAUGGGUGUGCCUCUUUUGGGGUCGGUUCACAGGUGGUGCAUGCCUGUCGUCAGCUCGUGUCGUGAGAUGUUGGGUUAAGUCCCGCAACGAGCGCAACCCUUGUUCACUGUUGCCAGCACGUUAUGGUGGGGACUCAGUGGAGACCGCCGGGGUCAACUCGGAGGAAGGUGGGGAUGACGUCAAGUCAUCAUGCCCCUUAUGUCCAGGGCUUCACGCAUGCUACAAUGGCUGGUACAGAGAGUGGCGAGCCUGUGAGGGUGAGCGAAUCUCGGAAAGCCGGUCUCAGUUCGGAUUGGGGUCUGCAACUCGACCUCAUGAAGUCGGAGUCGCUAGUAAUCGCAGAUCAGCAACGCUGCGGUGAAUACGUUCCCGGGGCU